AUCCAGCUGACAAGUCCCGAAUAGGACGAAAUGCGCAUCCUGGAU
Trichobilharzia regenti is the source of this 45-nucleotide non-coding RNA. The record is from Rfam. Lineage: Eukaryota; Metazoa; Platyhelminthes; Trematoda; Strigeidida; Schistosomatidae.